CAUUGAAUUCUGUGAGAAUUUACUUCUUGUGAAUACUAAAAAUGAAAAAAAAAAUUCCUCUUCUGCUAUGCGUCCAAUUGAUUGCACUUCGAAGCACUCUAUCUUCCUCCUCUACAGCCAUGUUGAAGAGAUUCAGUCAUACAUAGAUCACUGCCUCCAGGAAGAGGAAAGACACAACUCCCGUCCUGAUUCCUCGACUCCCGUAGUUUUUUAUUUCAUUUCUUUGCUCGCGGAUCCUUGAAAUUGCUUAAGUUGGGUUUGGCGGGAAGGAAAUCCGUUGACGGCAAACCCAAGCUCCCCAAGACGGAGGAGGCUAAGGCCGAUAUCACUGUGACGAUGACAGGGUUUGCAACUUGCCCAUGAUGAUUUGAUAUGGCCUCUGCAGCUCAACAAAUCGGAGUGGAGGGGAGAGGUAACCUGCUCUUUCUCCCUUUUUCAUUCCCAUCUUGAAACUGGUUUUAUGUUGCUUUUUCAUUUCUUCCUUCGGUUUUAAGCUGCGGAACAUCGAAAGAUCAAAUGGGACAGGAAAAACCCUGAUGAUGAAAUGAAAGUAAAAAUCAAUCGUUCGUCCCAUCAAAAAAAAAAAAAAAAAAGAAAGGAAAAAAAAAGCAAAAAAGGCGGC
This 622-nucleotide small RNA is filed under the name Histoplasma capsulatum. Its description in RNAcentral is "hypothetical RNA". The record is from RNAcentral. Lineage: Eukaryota; Fungi; Ascomycota; Eurotiomycetes; Onygenales; Ajellomycetaceae. RNAcentral also lists the same sequence under 1 other name.